AUUUUUUCUGAGGAUUAUUUGGGUAAAAUAUGGUGUUCUUCUUCUUCUUCUAUUAGAAAGACAUAUAGUCAUAUUUUCCUGCUCAGAUUGGUGGCAUGCUAACAAAGCUGUUAUAAGAAUCAGUUGUUUUCUUUCUCAUACUUCAAUGUGUAAACAUAAACUUUCUUUAGGCAUUGUACUUUUCUUCCCCAUUUCAAUGCAAAUGUAGCGGGGAUGAGACUGCCCAUGACAGUUCACUGCAUUCUGUGACCUCCGAAAGUAGCACAUAUUUUCUUUAUUAGCUUUUGUGAUUUCCUCUAUUCUUGUUUUUCUAUUUGGAUCUCUAUCUGUAAAUAAUUGUGGGGACAAUUUUGGAUCUUCUGCAUCAUGAUCCUUAAAAUAGAAGCUCAAUAUCUUGAGUUUCUUCAUUUUUGUAGCCUUUUUACUCUUCUGUUUCACAAUCCCUAUCAUCGAGAAGCUGAAGGUGCUCGGAGCUAUUGUUGUAUUGGAAUGAUUCAAUAUAUUUUUCUUUCUCAAAUUAUUUCCAGAAUAUAGAGAUUUCAAGUUUUCUAUUUCUGACACUGUAACCAUAUAUUAAUCUGAAGGACUUUGAGUAUGUAGCACUGGAAGAAGUCUUGCAUUAUUACGUUCAGGGAUACCAUGGAGUUGUUAAAGAAGGAAGACCGAUCUACAUCGAGAGACUUGGUAAAGCUGAACCAAACAAGCUUAUGCACAUUACAAGAGUAGAUAGCUACUUAAGGUAUCAUGUACAGGAGUAUGAGAAGGUCUUCCUCUAUGAAAGUUCAUUAAUAUGAGGACGUAUCCAAUAAGAUGAAGGGAAGAAGACAAUUGAACUUGAAAUAUGCAUUGGAUAGAAUGGUAACACUGGAAAUAUAAAAGCUACCAGGCGCAGCAUGUCAUCAGGUUUAGAGAUAAAGCUUGAUGAGCUGUGGAAAGAGCUCUCUUCAAGUCAUGAAGGAAUAUUGCCACAUACCAUUCUUUCCACCCAACAGAUCAGUACGUUAAGCGCCGAAAAACCAACUUCCAUGGAGCAGCUAAGGACUAGCCUAGUUCUGACUAUCAUAGGAGCAGUUUUCAAAGGGCUAAUGGUGGGUGAUCCACUCUUCUCGCUGCAUACAAGUGGGGCAAUCCAGAGUUCAAAUCACUUCAGCCUUUUGACGCCACUCGUGCUAGGAGUAGACCAUAUAGAGGAUUUGUUUUUAUUUAUAUUCAAGACCAUUUAUUGUAAUAAAUUUUGUUUAAUAUUCAGUUUUAUUUGUAUUGCAUCA
This is a long non-coding RNA of Magnolia sinica, 1268 nucleotides long. RefSeq lists it as uncharacterized. The transcript is spliced from 2 exons. Lineage: Eukaryota; Viridiplantae; Streptophyta; Magnoliopsida; Magnoliales; Magnoliaceae. The record is from RefSeq and is a predicted model, not a curated record.